This 1426-nucleotide long non-coding RNA is filed under the name Piliocolobus tephrosceles (Ugandan red Colobus). RNAcentral's name for it is "lncRNA (ENSPTEG00000010716.1)". Lineage: Eukaryota; Metazoa; Chordata; Mammalia; Primates; Cercopithecidae. The record is from RNAcentral.
UAUCACUCAACUAGAUUGUAAUAAAAAUGACACAGAUAAAAAUGAGUUAAGUCAUGAUAGCAGUGAUAACAUUAAAGAUAUCAUAAUAAAUAAAAGUAAAGAAAAAGUAAUAGAACAAAGUGUGGUACCUUUAAAUAUGGACUGGAUAAAAGUCAUGAAUUUAAUACAUGCUAGUAAAGAUGUAGAUGCAACUACUUUAGCUUUUAAUGCAGCAGUUUCGGCGAUUGAAAAAAAAGGAUGUCUAACAACAAUGUUAGAAAUAUUUGAAAUAAUGAAAAAGAAAAAUAUAAAACCAGAUUUAGUUUCGUAUAAAUUAUUAUUAAGUUUAUGUGAUAAAUAUCAUUUAGCAGAUCAUGCUGAAAUAAUAUUUAAUGAUAUGGUUGAACAAGAUAAGAUAUUACCAAACUAUGAAAUCUAUUCUAUUAUGAUUAGUUGUUUUUCUAAAGUCGGUAAUGGCCACAAAGCUAUCGAAUUUUUUGAAAAACUUCGAAAUGACCCGUUUGUUGAAAAUAUAAAAAAUUUCAAAAUAAAUAAUGAACAAACAAAAUUAGAAAAGUGGAAAAAUAUUUUUUCAAAAGAAAAUUUAAGUCAAAACGAUAAGGACAAUAAAAAUGAACAAACUGAGUAUAAAGAAAAGUUUAAAGAAAUUACAAAUAAAAUAAAAAAUAUGCAACAGGGGAAUAGUCGAAUUCAGUAUGGUGAAUAUGCAAAUGUUAUUUUUGCUUGCAACAUGGCUAAUUUACAUGAACAAGGAAUAAAAUAUGUUGACGAGUUGUUAAAUGGAGCAACUAACGGUAGUGACAGUAGUGAAAAUAAAUAUAUGCCUUCCGUUUUCAUUUUCGAAAAUAUAUUUGAAUUGCUAGCGAAAAAUGGGAAUUAUAAAAAAUGUUUAGAGUACUACACAAAACUAAAAGAAGAUCCUAAUUUUAAACACUAUAUCAAUACAAACAUAUUAAAUAACAUUUUAAAAGCUUUAAGUAUAUAUAACAAAAUUAAUAUAAUUGAAGAUAUAUGGCAACAACAAUUUGACGAUUUAUUUGUAGUUCCUAAUUCUUUAUCUUAUCAAAUUAUGUUAUCUGUUUAUAGCAACACUGAUGAUUAUGAGAAAGCUUUUAAAUUGUUUAAAGAAAUGCAACUAAAAAAGUGUUUAAAUAAAAACAACAUCUUACCUUUUAUAUACACAAUUAAUGUUUUUAAAAAUUGUGGUAUAUUUAAUUAUGCUAUUUAUGUUUUAAGAGUGGGUAUACAUAUAGGAAUUGUUGGACAAGAGUUAGUAAUGUUAUAUCAACAUACGAUGAUAACUUGUGUAAAUGCAAAACAAUAUGAAAUGAUACUUUCGUUAUACACAGAAUUAAUAACUAUGCAGGAAAAAAAUACAGCUAUAAAAAUAAAUAUUGCCAUACUUAGUUUUGUUCUUUUAGCGUUU